GUGGAUUAGAUACCCGGGUAGUCCACGCCGUAAACUAUGAGAGCUAGCCGUUGGGAGAUUUAUCUCUCAGUGGCGCAGCUAACGCAUUAAGCUCUCCGCCUGGGGAGUACGGUCGCAAGAUUAAAACUCAAAGGAAUUGACGGGGGCCCGCACAAGCAGUGGAGCAUGUGGUUUAAUUCGAAGCAACGCGAAGAACCUUACCAGCCCUUGACAUGGUCGGACGAUUUCCGGAGACGGAUCUCUUCACUUCGGUGACCGAUACACAGGUGCUGCACGGUUGUCGACAACU
This 289-nucleotide ribosomal RNA is filed under the name uncultured bacterium. RNAcentral describes it as "partial 16S ribosomal RNA". It matches the Rfam family "Bacterial small subunit ribosomal RNA", at positions 773 to 1060 of the family's 1533-position model. The record is from RNAcentral.